Molecule: ribosomal RNA, 334 nt
Filed under: Bacillus subtilis
Lineage: Bacteria; Bacillati; Bacillota; Bacilli; Caryophanales; Bacillaceae
Description: LSU rRNA
Rfam family: Bacterial large subunit ribosomal RNA
Source: RNAcentral
AGCGGUACGCGAGCUGGGUUCAGAACGUCGUGAGACAGUUCGGUCCCUAUCCGUCGCGGGCGCAGGAAAUUUGAGAGGAGCUGUCCUUAGUACGAGAGGACCGGGAUGGACGCACCGCUGGUGUACCAGUUGUUCUGCCAAGGGCAUCGCUGGGUAGCUAUGUGCGGACGGGAUAAGUGCUGAAAGCAUCUAAGCAUGAAGCCCCCCUCAAGAUGAGAUUUCCCAUUCCGCAAGGAAGUAAGAUCCCUGAAAGAUGAUCAGGUUGAUAGGUCUGAGGUGGAAGUGUGGCGACACAUGGAGCUGACAGAUACUAAUCGAUCGAGGACUUAACCUA